This 1233-nucleotide long non-coding RNA is filed under the name Canis lupus familiaris (dog). RNAcentral describes it as "lncRNA (ENSCAFG00000058216.1, ENSCAFG00845010476.1)". The record is from RNAcentral. Lineage: Eukaryota; Metazoa; Chordata; Mammalia; Carnivora; Canidae.
AUGUUAGAGCUGGAUAAAUCAUUUGAAAUUACAGAUCAAAAUUUGAAGAGAGAAAAAAAAUGCAACAUGAGGAUGCUCAGGGCUGGAAAGAAGGCUGCAGGCGGUCUCAUGAGAUAUACUUUCCAUAAGAGACAAGAAACCUGCCACUCUGCUAUUGAAAGAGGGCCUCCAUCUCUUCCCCUGAUGAAGAGGAGAAGGAGGAGGAGAUGGGGGAAAGCAGAGCAAGGAGGGGAGAAAGUAAGGACCCUGUAAGAAGGUAAGAUGAACAAGAGUGGUGGCAGAGGGAAAGAGAAGAGGGGGAGACAGAGACAGGAGAGGAGAGAUUUGUGAAUAAGGAAGCCCUAGCCUAGUGGCCACCAGUGGGAGUGAUACAACCCCUAAAAGAGUGAACAUUUACAGGGGCGGUCAUUGGUUCCAACAAUUGAAGUUCAGUGAUGGUAGAUACCGAGGAACGCGUGAGAUGGCCCCACAACUAAAUAGUUCCACAUCCUACUUAACUGUCAAAGUAAUUCAAGUACGUGACAAAUUCAGGACUCAAGUGUGUUUUCCACAUUAACACAGUAUUUUUUCAGGGCACCUGGGUGGUUCAGUGGUUGAGCAUCUGCCUUUGGCUCGGGGGGUAGGAUGAUCCCGGGGUCCUGGGAUUAAGUCCCACAUCGGGCUCCCCUCAGGACGCCUGCUUCUCCCUCUGCUUAUGUCUCUGCCUGUCUCUCCGUGUCUCUCUCAUGAAUAAAUAAAUAAAGUAUUUUUAUUUAAAGUGUUUUUGCUUGAUUUUGAUAUAGGCUGGAUAUCUCAGCAAUGCCACUAAAUUUGAAGGAAAAUUGUAUGUUGCUUUAUUGAUGACUUUUUUUCUUUUUUUGUAACCAGGGGAAGAUUAUAUGCUGUUUUAUUAAUAACUUAGAUUACUCACCACUGGGAAAAUCUUAUCUCCUGAGGUAAGGCUACUUUUGGUAUGUGAGUCACACUACGCGUUUGUGGUGUGCAUACUUGUAUUUGCAUAUACAGGUGGAAGCAUUUGACUACAUCAUUAUGACAUUACUAUAGUUGGUCCUGAACAGUAAUCAUAUUAAUUUAAUUUCUACUUACUUUCCUUUUGUUUCUUCUUUAUGAUUCAGCUGGGGCAUUACACUGAUUUUUAAUUAUGUAUAUAAGUAGAUUGUAGUAUCUAUGAAAGUCAUUUUAAGAUAAAAGAGUUUUAAUUUAAAAAACUUCACAGGUUAGGGGGUGUUGGGG